This 257-nucleotide ribosomal RNA is filed under the name uncultured archaeon. RNAcentral describes it as "partial 16S ribosomal RNA". It matches the Rfam family "Archaeal small subunit ribosomal RNA", at positions 748 to 1008 of the family's 1478-position model. The record is from RNAcentral.
CAGCCGUAAACUAUGCUCGCUAGGUGUCAGGCAUGGCGCGACCGUGUCUGGUGCCGCAGGGAAGCCGUGAAGCGAGCCACCUGGGAAGUACGGCCGCAAGGCUGAACUUAAGGAUUGGCGGGGAGCACCACAACGGGUGGAGCCUGCGGUUUAAUUGGACUCAACGCCGGGAAGCUCACCGGAUAAGACAGCGGAAUGAUUGCCGGGCUGAAGACUCUGCAUGACUAGCUGAGAGGAGGUGCAUGGCGUCAGUGACU